GAUGAAGAAGGUAGCGAAAUGCGAUAAGUAAUGUGAAUUGCAGAAUUCAGUGAAUCAUCGAAUCUUUGAACGCACCUUGCGCCCUUUGGCCAUUCCGAAGGGCAUGCCUGUUUGAGUAUCAUGAACACCUCAACUCUCAUGGCUUGCCAUGAUGAGCUUGGACUUUGGGGGUCUUGCUGGCCUGUGGUCGGCUCCUCUCAAAUGAAUCAGCUUGCCAGUGUUUGGUGGCAUCACAAGUGUGAUAACUAUCUGCGCUCGUGGUUUCCAUCAGAUAACCUCCAGUGAUGGAGGUUCGCUGGAGCUCAUAAAUGUCUCUCCUAAGCGAGGACAGCUCUUUUAAUGUUUGAUCUCAAAUCAGGUAGGACUACCCGCUGAACUUAAGCAUAUCAAUAAGCGGAGGA
Molecule: unclassified non-coding RNA, 401 nt
Filed under: soil metagenome
Description: partial contains 5.8S ribosomal RNA, internal transcribed spacer 2, and large subunit ribosomal RNA
Rfam family: 5.8S ribosomal RNA (bases 1-121)
Source: RNAcentral